RNAcentral lists this non-coding RNA (21 nucleotides) under Caenorhabditis elegans. Lineage: Eukaryota; Metazoa; Nematoda; Chromadorea; Rhabditida; Rhabditidae. The record is from RNAcentral.
UGAAGUGUGUUUCGAUAAUAC